UGAGCAAUCUGCCCUUCUCUUCGGAAUAAGCGUUGGAAACGACGUCUAAUGCCGAAUACGACCUCCUUUCGCAUGAUCGGAGGUGGAAAGCUCCGGCGGAGAAGGAUGAGCUCGCGGCCUAUCAGCUAGUUGGUGUGGGUAAUGGCCCACCAAGGCGACGACGGGUAGCCGGCCUGAGAGGGUGGCCGGCCACACUGGGACUGAGACACGGCCCAGACUCCUACGGGAGNAGCG
This 234-nucleotide ribosomal RNA is filed under the name uncultured bacterium. RNAcentral's name for it is "partial 16S ribosomal RNA". It matches the Rfam family "Bacterial small subunit ribosomal RNA", at positions 118 to 347 of the family's 1533-position model. The record is from RNAcentral.